This 498-nucleotide ribosomal RNA is filed under the name uncultured bacterium. RNAcentral describes it as "partial 16S ribosomal RNA". It matches the Rfam family "Bacterial small subunit ribosomal RNA", at positions 29 to 523 of the family's 1533-position model. The record is from RNAcentral.
AUUGAACGCUGGCGGCAUGCCUUACACAUGCAAGUCGAACGGUAACGCGGGGCAACCUGGCGACGAGUGGCGAACGGGUGAGUAAUACAUCGGAACGUGCCCCGUAGUGGGGGAUAGCCCGGCGAAAGCCGGAUUAAUACCGCAUACGACCUCAGGGUGAAAGCGGGGGAUCGCAAGACCUCGCGCCAUUGGAGCGGCCGAUGGCAGAGUAGGAAGUUGGUGGGGUAAAGGCCUACCAAGCCGACGAUCUGUAGCUGGUGGGAGAGGACGAACAGCCACACGGGGACUGAGACACGGCCCAGACUCCUACGGGAGGCAGCAGUGGGGAAUUUUGGACAAUGGGCGCAAGCCUGAUCCAGCCAUGCCGCGUGCGGGAAGAAGGCCUUCGGGUUGUAAACCGCUUUUGUCAGGGAAGAAACGCUCCGGGCUAAUACCCCGGGGUAAUGACGGUACCUAAAGAAUAAGCACCGGCUAACUACGUGCCAGCCGCCGCGGUAA